RNAcentral lists this ribosomal RNA (327 nucleotides) under Triticum aestivum (bread wheat). RNAcentral describes it as "partial small subunit ribosomal RNA". The record is from RNAcentral. Lineage: Eukaryota; Viridiplantae; Streptophyta; Magnoliopsida; Poales; Poaceae.
AAGCCAUCAAACAUUCUUUUUUCUGAAGGGUAUCAUGCGAAGUUGUCCGACUUUGGACUUGCUAAACUUGGUCCUGUGGGUGAUAAGACUCGUGUGACAACCCGUGUCAUGGGGACUUAUGGCUAUUGUGCUCCUGAGUACGCCGCGACUGGACAGCUAACGGUUAAGUCUGACAUCUAUAGUUUUGGUGUGGUGUUCCUCGAGCUAAUUACAGGACGAAGGGCGCUCGAUAGCAAUCGGCCUCGUGAGGAACAGGACUUGGUCUCAUGGGUAGGUUUUGACAAUCUCACGGUGCAGCUAACUGGUCCAAUAAUGAUGAUUUUAUAA